Molecule: ribosomal RNA, 404 nt
Filed under: uncultured bacterium
Lineage: Bacteria
Description: bacterial SSU rRNA
Rfam family: Bacterial small subunit ribosomal RNA
Source: RNAcentral
GAUGAACGCUGGCGGCGUGCUUAACACAUGCAAGUCGAACGUGAGAGGAUAGCAAUAUUCUUGAAAGUGGCGCACGGGUGAGUAAUACGUAGGUAACCUGCCCUGGAGUGGGGGAUAACAACUAGAAAUGGUUGCUAAAUACCGCAUGAAGCCAAGACACUGGGAAGUGACAUGGUAAAAACUCUGGUGCUUCAGGAGGGGCCUACGGCCGAUUAGCUAGUUGGCGGGGUAAGAGCCCACCAAGGCAGUGAUCGGUAGCUGGUCUGAGAGGACGAUCAGCCACACGGGAACUGAGACACGGUCCCGACUCCUACGGGGGGCAGCAGUGAGGAAUAUUUGGGGCAAUGGGCGGAAGCCUGACCCAGCAACGCCGCGUGGAGGAAGACGGCCUUCGGGUUGUAAAC